RNAcentral lists this ribosomal RNA (253 nucleotides) under uncultured bacterium. RNAcentral's name for it is "partial 16S ribosomal RNA". It matches the Rfam family "Bacterial small subunit ribosomal RNA", at positions 524 to 776 of the family's 1533-position model. The record is from RNAcentral.
UACAGAGGGUGCGAGCGUUGUCCGGAAUCACUGGGCAUAAAGGGCGCGUAGGCGGUUUUGUAAGUCGGGGGUGAAAUGCUGCGGCUCAACCGCAGCGCUGCCUUCGAGACUGCAAGACUGGAGCACGGUAGAGGCGGAUGGAAUUCCCGGUGUAGCGGUGGAAUGCGUAGAGAUCGGGAGGAACACCGGUGGCGAAGGCGGCAUUCUGGACCGAAACUGACGCUGAUGCGCGAAAGCCAGGGGAGCAAACGGG